RNAcentral lists this ribosomal RNA (303 nucleotides) under Triticum aestivum (bread wheat). Its description in RNAcentral is "partial small subunit ribosomal RNA". The record is from RNAcentral. Lineage: Eukaryota; Viridiplantae; Streptophyta; Magnoliopsida; Poales; Poaceae.
AUGCUGACCCCUAGUCGAAGUGUUGAGGAGGCCGAGGCAAAAUCUGCCCUCGCCGGACUGCAGGCUCUUGCAAAAUACUACAGCGGGCCUUUGAUCCUGGAGAUGGAUUGCCAUGCAAUCAUAAAAGAGCUAGCUGUGGGAGACCAAUCCAGAUCACAGUGCUAUGCCCUGAUCAAGGAUAUUAAACAAGCACUCUCAGUUUUUUCAGCAACCAGAAAUGUCAGCGACCAGGAGAUCAUCGCAAACGUCCCGGAUAAACUCUGUCCACUGAUGAUGUCUGAAUUUGUAUAUCCUCUGGAGUAG